CCUACGGGUGGCAGCAGUGAGGAAUAUUGGUCAAUGGGCGGAAGCCUGAACCAGCCAAGUAGCGUGCGGGAUGAAGGCCCUACGGGUCGUAAACCGCUUUUGCACGGGGAUAACACCCUCCACUUGUGGAGGUCUGCAGGUACCGUGCGAAUAAGGGCCGGCUAAUUCCGUGCCAGCAGCCGCGGUAAUACGGAAGGCCCGAGCGUUAUCCGGAUUCAUUGGGCUUAAAGGGAGCGUAGGCGGGCGUUCACGUCAGCGGUAAAAUUGAGAGGCUCAACCUCUUCGAGCCGUUGAAACUGGUUUUCUUGAGUGAGUGAGAAGUAUGCGGAAUGCGUGGUGUAGCGGUGAAAUGCAUAGAUAUCACGCAGAACUCCGAUUGCGAAGGCAGCAUACCGGCGCUCAACUGACGCUCAUGCACGAAAGUGUGGGUAUCGAACAGGAUUAGAUACCCCAGUAGUC
Molecule: ribosomal RNA, 459 nt
Filed under: uncultured bacterium
Lineage: Bacteria
Description: partial 16S ribosomal RNA
Rfam family: Bacterial small subunit ribosomal RNA
Source: RNAcentral